UACGUAGGUGGCAAGCGUUGUCCGGAAUUAUUGGGCGUAAAGCGCGCGCAGGCGGUCCCUUAAGUCUGAUGUGAAAGCCCACGGCUCAACCGUGGAGGGUCAUUGGAAACUGGGGGACUUGAGUGCAGAAGAGGAAAGUGGAAUUCCACGUGUAGCGGUGAAAUGCGUAGAGAUGUGGAGGAACACCAGUGGCGAAGGCGACUUUCUGGUCUGUAACUGACGCUGAGGCG
RNAcentral lists this ribosomal RNA (230 nucleotides) under uncultured microorganism. RNAcentral's name for it is "partial 16S ribosomal RNA". It matches the Rfam family "Bacterial small subunit ribosomal RNA", at positions 524 to 753 of the family's 1533-position model. The record is from RNAcentral.